This 374-nucleotide ribosomal RNA is filed under the name uncultured Bacteroidales bacterium. RNAcentral's name for it is "bacterial SSU rRNA". It matches the Rfam family "Bacterial small subunit ribosomal RNA", at positions 41 to 414 of the family's 1533-position model. Lineage: Bacteria; Pseudomonadati; Bacteroidota; Bacteroidia; Bacteroidales. The record is from RNAcentral.
UACAGGCUUAACACAUGCAAGUCGAGGGGUAGCAGGGUAGCAAUACCGCUGACGACCGGCGCACGGGUGAGUAACACGUAUCCAACCUUCCCAUAACUCGGGGAUAGCCUUUCGAAAGAAAGAUUAAUACCCGAUAGUACUUUUUUAGGGCAUCUUAGAAAAGUUAAAGAUUUAUUGGUUAUGGAUGGGGAUGCGUUCCAUUAGAUAGUUGGUGAGGUAACGGCUCACCAAGUCUUCGAUGGAUAGGGGUUCUGAGAGGAAGGUCCCCCACAUUGGUACUGAGACACGGACCAAACUCCUACGGGAGGCAGCAGUGAGGAAUAUUGGUCAAUGGGCGAGAGCCUGAACCAGCCAAGUAGCGUGAAGGAUGACGG